Long non-coding RNA from Cygnus olor (mute swan), 1651 nucleotides. RefSeq lists it as uncharacterized. NCBI's taxonomy places the organism in Eukaryota, Metazoa, Chordata, Aves, Anseriformes, Anatidae. The transcript has 4 exons. The record is from RefSeq and is a predicted model, not a curated record.
AAUCAGAACAGGCUGGAGUGGGGGGACCCAGCACCAUAUGGCUUUUCAUUCAGCCAAACUUGUUGUUACUUUAUGUUGUCAAAUAUGUGAUCUCUCUCAACAUGUCAACAUCUUUCCUUCCAAAUUUCUGCGGUGUUAUAAACUGAGUAGUAUCCCCACUGGAGAACAAACCAUUAAUGCUCAUACCGAGAGAAACCUUCAACAGACAAGCUUCAUCAGUCCUCCCUUAGAGCCGACAGCCACAUUCUCCCUCUCUGGAUGCCAGAUAUGUUGCAAUAAUGUUUUCCAUUUGUAACACACUGUUUUCAAUGAAUGGAAUUUUUAAAGCUUGAAUCCACCUAUUUUAUGGAGUCACCCGAUAUGUGGAAAGCCAAGCAGACAACUAAACAACUGCUGGAAUUCAUAAAAAUGCUUAAAAGUUGCCUACUUUCCCUCCGAGCCCCAGAACUUGCAUUUCAUUCUCCCAUGUCUCUCUCUUCCUCCUGACGCUAGAGAUGUGUCAACGAAAAAGGUGUGGCUUAGAGAUUGCAUUUGAACUGUUGCUGAAUCUCCAUUUCUCUUCAUAAUCAUCUCACUUUGGUUUGCUGCGAGCCAGUUACCGCCAAGACUCCAAGAAGGAUCUUCUGCGGUUAAUGUUGGAAUAUCUACACGACACAGGACAUAUCAUGUACACAGACAUCUGGAAGCACAUAAGCACAUACGCACAGACGUUUUUGAUGAAAAGGCCACAGAGUAGCAGUCACCUGCUCCUUGAAGGUACCAUUCGGGUUAUGCAGACAUACCUCUACACCUUUCAAUUUCCAUGUGUGAGCUAAAAUGUAACAUUCCCAUGAUGGCAUAACUAGCUUGCCGCCUUUCUCUGCUGGAGCACGUGAGCAGCCCAGUACAGUUGGGAACUCUUCCCAACAGAAAGGAGUGACUCUACAGGAUGCUGAAUGGCAGAUGGAAGAAUUGCGAAGAAUGUAGUAGUAUUUUACCUGUGGUCUUUUAUAUGUUUCUGAGCUGGUGAAUGAGAAUGGAGUCACAGGAUCCAUCGAGAGCCAUUCAGUUCCCUCACAAACUAUGAAAAAUGGAUUUUUUUCCUGUAUGUUUUCAGUAAACAACUUCAGACUCAUUAUGUUUGAAAGAGAGUGUUAAAGCAGCAUUGGGAAAAUCAAUUUUGUUUUUGCAGUCCAUUUUGAAACCCGCUAUAUAUUGCCAUGAGCAGCCAGAAAAAGCUCCAGGAGGCCUCUACAGAGAGAUUAAAAAAUGGAAAACAAAACUGCAAACCACACUGCAGAAAAUCUGUUAAAGUCAUUUGUGUGUAAAGUCAUUUUUAGGAUAGCAAAGCAAAGAACAGAUAUCCUAGUGUGUGCCUCCAGAUUCAUGAACUUUUGUACUUUAUUUUCCAUUUAACCCCUCUCUUAAUAGCUUUGAGAAAGUGCUGGAAUAAUUUGUAUUUAUGACAGGCAUCCGUGACUUUUGAUCACAACAAAGCUGUUGAUUCAGAUGGAAAAAAAAAAAAGUCAGUAAACAGAACAAUUUUUUCAGUGAUUUUGGGUAAUAGUCUUUCCUCUAAGCGUAGCUGGGGGUAAGAGGGGGAAAGUGAUUUGGACAAAUAUAGGUAGUGUUUUCUGUCUUCUGAUGUAAAUAAAGAAGCUUGGAAAAGCUU